CCUACGGGAGGCAGCAGUAAGGAAUAUUGGACAAUGGAGGCAACUCUGAUGCAGCAGCGCCGCGUGCGCGAUGAAGGCCUUCGGGUCGUAAAGCACUUUUAUGAGGGAAGAGCAAGGACUGUACCUCAUGAAUAAGGAUCGGCUAACUACGUGCCAGCAGCCGCGGUAAU
This 170-nucleotide ribosomal RNA is filed under the name uncultured bacterium. RNAcentral describes it as "partial 16S ribosomal RNA". It matches the Rfam family "Bacterial small subunit ribosomal RNA", at positions 338 to 524 of the family's 1533-position model. The record is from RNAcentral.